GCGCCCUCCCGCGGGGGCGGGCACGGGCGGGGUCCGUGCCCGUGCCCGCCCCCGCGGGCGGCCCCGGCCGAACGUCUCGGCCGGGGCGCAC
This 91-nucleotide transfer RNA is filed under the name Streptomyces rubrolavendulae. Its description in RNAcentral is "tRNA-Arg". Lineage: Bacteria; Bacillati; Actinomycetota; Actinomycetes; Kitasatosporales; Streptomycetaceae. The record is from RNAcentral.